This 1099-nucleotide long non-coding RNA is filed under the name Dermacentor andersoni. RNAcentral describes it as "uncharacterized LOC126517960". Lineage: Eukaryota; Metazoa; Arthropoda; Arachnida; Ixodida; Ixodidae. The record is from RNAcentral.
CCGCACUGCGCUCGCCGAGAGCGCCCCGAACUCGAGCGAAAGACCGAGGCGAAUCGUCGCGGUACCCCGUCGAAUCUCGGCGGCCGCUCAAGAGAGGAGCUCGAUUCGACGCGGCAUCGCCCGUCAGGCUCGAACGCCGAACCCGUCGCGUCGGACAUGAAGGCGUGGCGGGAGAACUGGAAGGAGAGGAGAGAGAGGUUAGUUCAACGGUGGUCCUACUUCUUCAAAGUCCUUCUCCACUCCGUGUUAUCCGAGCCUCCAUCCGACGCCAGUUCGCAACCGACGCAGUGGAGAUCUCUAAAGCCGGCGAGACACGAGACGGCGGCCGGUUCGCGCGCUUAGCGCCCCGUCCCGACGCGUCGACACACGCCCACGACGUGGGGGAGAAGGGCGGAGACACCGAAGGCGCGAAACGUCACGUGAAGCGUUCGUGCGGGAGAGAAGCAACAGGCGUCGACGAGGAAUACGUUGUUGUUUCUACGCACGUCGACUACGAUGCCGGCCCCGACGCGUAGCGCUGGACCCGAUUCCGGGAGGGGAGAACGUUCGUAACGGGACUGCGAGGAGGUGGCCACGCUCAUUGAGCGGAGCGCUUUGCUAUGUGCUGUGCGGAGAAGCUCCUCGUUCCCGCGGCGUCGUCUUGCACGGUGGCGCGCCUUCUUCCGACUUCGCCGCUGCCGGCUUUCGAGAAGAGUCCCAGCGGUCGCAGCGAUGCUGUGAGCAGGUACUCGCAAGACGUGGUCGCACUGCCCAGCUGAGCUUGGCACGGCGUAGCGACUUCCGGCCACCCACACCCGCCCCGCGCAAGCUCUGCAACCCUGUCUCCCUACAGCCGCCCGAGCACCGACAGGAUAGACUGCUGCUGCCCUCUGAUGCCCGCGGCGCGCGUGUCUCCGGCGGACGAACCGGCGGCGGCCUGGCCCGCCGCUGACCGCCGGGGACCCGCGGCCGCCGCCCACGGCCUCGGAGGAGCUACUGCCUCGCCCAGCGACACGCCGCUGCCAGACCCUUCCGGCCACCGACUCGCCUCCUCCAACAACGCGCACCGCACCUCUGACACGGGAAACAAGGCGCCGUGUCCCGUCACGCCUACCAAAGC